Molecule: ribosomal RNA, 424 nt
Filed under: Funneliformis mosseae
Lineage: Eukaryota; Fungi; Glomeromycota; Glomeromycetes; Glomerales; Glomeraceae
Description: eukaryotic LSU rRNA
Rfam family: Eukaryotic large subunit ribosomal RNA
Source: RNAcentral
GUACCGUGAGGGAAAGAUGAAAAGAACUUUGAAAAGAGAGUUAAACAGUACGUGAAAUUGUUGAAAGGGAAACGAUUGAAGUCAGUCAUACCAACGGGAAAUCAACCUUUUGAGCUCGGUCUCGUGGGUUUUGAAGAGUUUCAAAGCCUUCGGAUUCGCGAGAUUGGGAUCUCUCGGUGUACUUUCUCGUACGGUUAGUCAACAUCGGUUUUGAAUGUCAUAAAAUGACUGGAGGAAUGUAGCUUCGAUCUCGUAUUGAAGUGUUAUAGCCUUUGGUAGAUGUGAUGUUUGAGACCGAGGAUUGCAACGGAUACCCUUCAGGGCUAUUCGUCUGAUCUCUGAUACGUUGCCCUGAUGUUGAAAGCUUGCUUAUGAUGUUAGGGUAUUACGGUCAAAAGGUUAGAACGAAUUACAUUCGUUAAGG